UGAAUCUCAGAAGAGACUUUGGACAGGU
Molecule: non-coding RNA, 28 nt
Filed under: Rattus norvegicus (Norway rat)
Lineage: Eukaryota; Metazoa; Chordata; Mammalia; Rodentia; Muridae
Source: RNAcentral